RNAcentral lists this ribosomal RNA (325 nucleotides) under uncultured eukaryote. Its description in RNAcentral is "partial 18S ribosomal RNA". It matches the Rfam family "Eukaryotic small subunit ribosomal RNA", at positions 1470 to 1796 of the family's 1831-position model. The record is from RNAcentral.
CCCUUAGAUGUUCUGGGCCGCACGCGCGCUACACUGAUGCAUUCAACGAGCCUAUCCUUGACCGACAGGUCCGGGUAAUCUUUGAAUCUGCAUCGUGACGGGGAUAGAUUAUUGCAAUUAUUAAUCUUCAACGAGGAAUGCCUGGUAGGCGCAAGUCAUCAGCUUGCGUCGAUUACGUCCCUGCCCUUUGUACACACCGCCCGUCGCUCCUACCGAUUGGGUGUGCUGGUGAAAUGUUCGGAUCGGCCGUUUGUCGCGGUUUCCGCGGCUCGUGGCUGAGAAGUUCAUUAAACCCUCCCACCUAGAGGAAGGAGGAGUCGUAACA